This 439-nucleotide ribosomal RNA is filed under the name uncultured bacterium. RNAcentral's name for it is "partial 16S ribosomal RNA". It matches the Rfam family "Bacterial small subunit ribosomal RNA", at positions 339 to 795 of the family's 1533-position model. The record is from RNAcentral.
CUACGGGUUGCUGCAGUGGGGAAUAUUGCACAAUGGAGGAAACUCUGAUGCAGCAACGCCGCGUGGAGGAUGACACUUUUCGGAGCGUAAACUCCUUUUAUAUAGGAAGAAGAUGACGGUACUAUAUGAAUAAGCGCCGGCUAACUCCGUGCCAGCAGCCGCGGUAAUACGGAGGGCGCAGGCGUUACUCGGAAUCACUGGGCGUAAAGAGCGUGUAGGCGGGUUAAAAAGUCAGAAGUGAAAUCCUAUAGCUUAACUAUAGAACUGCUUCUGAAACUCUUAAUCUAGAAUAUGGGAGAGGUAGAUGGAAUUUCUGGUGUAGGGGUAAAAUCCGUAGAGAUCAGAAGGAAUACCGAUUGCGAAGGCGAUCUACUAGAACAUUAUUGACGCUGAGACGCGAAAGCGUGGGGAGCAAACAGGAUUAGAUACCCCUGUAGUC